Molecule: long non-coding RNA, 547 nt
Filed under: Marmota monax (woodchuck)
Lineage: Eukaryota; Metazoa; Chordata; Mammalia; Rodentia; Sciuridae
Source: RNAcentral
CUUCAGCCAGGUUUCUGCCUCCCAAGUUCAUGGGCAUUUGCUGCCCUACUUAGCUAUUGACUCAGAGAUGCUCUGAGGUCUAGUCCAAGGCCUUGGGAAGGACAGUGCAGAAGUACUUUUUCCUGUGGUGCCCUACUCCAUCCCACAUGAUCUGCCUGUGGCUUCAUGACCCUGAGGAUCACAGUGUGCCUCUCUCUCAUCUAUUACCAGAAGUAGAAUUAGAAUGGAAUAAGAGCUUGAAUCCAAGGAAUGGAGUAAGGGGCAGAAAGGUUGUAUUUUCAGACCAUUGCUGGAUUAAUGGGAAUCAUAUUUACAAGUUACAUAGGCUCUAUAGAAUUUAACAAAAAGGGCAGCAAGAGGGCCUGACUGGGUAGUUGCUGUGCCCCUGCACCCAGCUAAGGCUUUCUGUGUUGAUCCUGAAGAGGGAGUUGAAAAUCCCAGAGCAGGGCCUGGUGGUGCAUACCUGUAAUCCCAGAUCCCAGGAAGACCUAAAGUUCAAAGACAGCCUCAGCAACUUAGUGAGGCCCUAACCAACUCAGAGAGACCC